CUAGCCGCCUCUCUCCAAACCCCUCCCCCCAUGUGCAGCCGCCCCCCCCACUUCUCCUCCUCCCCUUGGCCGCCCCCUGCCCAUCUCUUCCUCUCUCAAUUUUUGCAGCCACCAAACCCUAGCCGCCCCCCCUCAAUCCCCUCCUCCCAAGGUGCCAAUCCUUGCCGCUCGGAUCAUCGUCUCGUGGUGCGAAUCUCCAACCGUUUUGGUGGAGGGAAGAAGGGAGGAAGAAAAGGGGGAGAACCCAAGGCACCUAAUUUCUGCUUUGGGGAGUAGAGGGAUGUAGUAGCACGGCCACUACACCUUUAAUAAAGGAACCACCAUUUAAUAAUGUUGUUAAUCAGAGUUGGACAAGACUAGUGAAUUGUUUUGUUCUUGGUUGAGCGUUUAUUUUGGGGUGGGGUGGGUUUCUUAUCCCAUUUGUUUUACUUCAGUUGGGUCAUAAUUAGGUUUUACCACUUUUGCAUUACAGUUUCUACUAUGUGAAUUAUAUGUCUUUAUAUCUUGUAUGAGCUUCAUGUUUCCCCUCCUUGUUAUGC
Zea mays is the source of this 539-nucleotide long non-coding RNA. RefSeq lists it as uncharacterized. The record is from RefSeq and is a predicted model, not a curated record. The transcript is spliced from 2 exons. Lineage: Eukaryota; Viridiplantae; Streptophyta; Magnoliopsida; Poales; Poaceae.